AACGAACGCUGGCGGCAUGCCUAACACAUGCAAGUCGAACGAAGGCUUCGGCCUUAGUGGCGCACGGGUGCGUAACGCGUGGGAAUCUGCCCUUUGCUUCGGAAUAACAGUUAGAAAUGACUGCUAAUACCGGAUGAUGUCGCAAGACCAAAGAUUUAUCGGCAAAGGAUGAGCCCGCGUAGGAUUAGCUAGUUGGUGGGGUAAAGGCCUACCAAGGCGACGAUCCUUAGCUGGUCUGAGAGGAUGAUCAGCCACGCUGGGACUGCGACACGGCCCAGACUCCUACGGGAGGCAGCAGUGGGGAAUAUUGGACAAUGGGCGAAAGCCUGAUCCAGCAAUGCCGCGUGAGUGAUGAAGGCCUUAGGGUUGUAAAGCUCUUUUACCCGGGAUGAUAAUGACGGUACCGGGAGAAUAAGCUCCGGCUAACUCCGUG
This 433-nucleotide ribosomal RNA is filed under the name uncultured bacterium. RNAcentral describes it as "partial 16S ribosomal RNA". It matches the Rfam family "Bacterial small subunit ribosomal RNA", at positions 29 to 507 of the family's 1533-position model. The record is from RNAcentral.